Non-coding RNA from Triticum aestivum (bread wheat), 135 nucleotides. NCBI's taxonomy places the organism in Eukaryota, Viridiplantae, Streptophyta, Magnoliopsida, Poales, Poaceae. The record is from Rfam.
CUUAUACUCUCUUCGUCUAAAAAUACUUGUCAUCAAAAUAAAUAAAAUGAGAUGUAUCUAGAUGUAUUUUAGUUCUAGACACAUCCUUUUUUGUUCAUUUUGAUGACAAGUAUUUUCAGACGGAGGGAGUACUGA